RNAcentral lists this long non-coding RNA (319 nucleotides) under Arabidopsis thaliana (thale cress). Its description in RNAcentral is "long non-coding RNA (ATHA_LNC000209)". Lineage: Eukaryota; Viridiplantae; Streptophyta; Magnoliopsida; Brassicales; Brassicaceae. The record is from RNAcentral.
UCUGUAAGUUCCCCCAACAACUCCUAUAUUGUCAUCUUUCGAACGGCUUUAUACACGAAACAGAGCUCUUAAAGAGUUUGACUUUCAAUGAUCUUUCUCUUACUUUCACAGUGGGUACCAAGUUCGAUGCUGCAACGGUAGAUGAAGAAUUAGUGAGAGCAUACAGAGAGAAACAAAAGGCGAAAACAGACAAGAUUCUUGAUGAGUACCUUAGAAUUUGCUUGCGGAAAGGGGUAUGUAUAUUUUUAUACAUAUACAUAAGGGAUAUGAAGUUUAGGCCAUUCCUAAGGAGAUUGGUAUUGUAGGUCCAAGCAGAGAA